RNAcentral lists this non-coding RNA (250 nucleotides) under Clostridium beijerinckii. The record is from RNAcentral. Lineage: Bacteria; Bacillati; Bacillota; Clostridia; Eubacteriales; Clostridiaceae.
AUAAAGCCUUUGAUGGGAGAUAGUAGAUAAUAGAGUUUGAUUCCAGAGAACUUGGGGUAGUGAGAUCCAAGUAUUGUAGCUAUUAUUGAAUGGGUCCCUGAGGUGAUAUCUUGAAAUUUUUAAGAGUAGGGAUAUUCGGGAAAGUCAGCCGUUAAAAUGACAGGGUAUAAAAAAAUUAUAUUUUGAGUACCUGGUAAGAGAUAUAUAACGUAUAGGUGGUAUAGCAGAAUUUUAGUAUUUUGUCCUGUUU